UACACACCGCCCGUCAAACCACGAGAGUUGGUAAUACCAGAAGUACGUAGCCUAACCGUAAGGAAGGCGCGUCCCAAGGUAGGACUAGCGAUUGGGGUUAAGUCGUAACAAGGUAUCCGUACGGGAACGUGCGGAUGGAUCACCUCCUUUCUAUGGAGAUAUGACAAAAACAGAUUGACUAUUAUAUGUUCUAUUUAGUUUUCAGAGAUCAUUAAAAAUGAAUCUCUGGAAAAGAGUAUUGUUCUUUGAAAACUGAAUAUUAGAUAAGCAUUGUAAAAAGAUUAAAUAAAUCAAAUCAAUUUUAACAAAUUAAUAAAUUUUACUGAAUCAAUUAUCAAUUGCUUUAAGAUUUUUUCUAAAAAAAUAGUAAGGGCACAUGGUGAAUGCCUUGGAAAAUGGAGCCGAAGAAGGACGUGAUUACCUGCGAAAAGCAUCGGGGAGCUGGAAGUAAGCUUUGAUCCGGUGAUAUCCGAAUGGGGAAACCCAAUAUGAUUAAUCUCAUAUUAUCCAUAAAUGAAUACAUAGUUUAUGAGAAGGGAACCUUGGGAACUGAAACAUCUUAGUACCAAGAGGAAAAGAAAAUAAUAAUGAUUCCGUUAGUAGCGGCGAGCGAACGCGGAAAAGGCCAAACCAGUCUACGGGCUGGGGUUGUAGGACAUCUUUUAGAGUUACAAAAUCAAUAUAUAGUAGAAGCUACUGGGAAGUAGUGGCAUAGAGGGUGAUACCCCCGUAUACGAAAUAUAUUGAUCUCGUAGAUGUAUCCUGAGUACGACGAAACACGUGAAAUUUUGUCGGAAUCCGCCGAGACCACUCGGCAAGCCUAAAUACUCCCAUUUUACCGAUAGUGAACCAGUAC
This 856-nucleotide small RNA is filed under the name Entomoplasma ellychniae. Its description in RNAcentral is "bacterial LSU rRNA". The stretch from base 357 to 856 matches the Rfam family "Bacterial large subunit ribosomal RNA", at positions 1 to 501 of the family's 2925-position model. Lineage: Bacteria; Bacillati; Mycoplasmatota; Mollicutes; Entomoplasmatales; Entomoplasmataceae. The record is from RNAcentral. RNAcentral also lists the same sequence under 1 other name.